CUCUUGAGUCAGACCACUUGUACGAUAGAACAUAUGAUAAAGUUUUAAUUGAACUGUUGUCAUAUUGCAACAUUUUCGAUCAACGCUUUCGUACUGCGCUUUGUUUUCCGGUUUGAUAUACACUAACAUAUCCGUCUUCACAAAGCACUGGUUCGUUAUCAUGAACAAUAUAAUUCUAAAAAGUUAGAUGUAAUCUUUAUUGUAUCUAUUUACAUUACUGUUUCUUUAUCAUACACUGAAUCUGCAUACAAUUAUGUCCAAUCUGGAGCUUUGCCUAAACUGCUCAAAGGAUUAAGCCCCGAAACAUUUCCUCUAUCUCAAUAGUAAUUCAACUCCUGUCUAAUGCAGACUCUGUAUAUUCUGUAAUCCUGCCAUGUUUUAAGGUCGUGUUCCUUCUUUACAGUAGUAAAUAGAAUCUAUGUAAUCUUCGUUCUGGUCCAGUGUGCAGCGGUGGCUUCAUGGGGUCCUGACGAGUGCUGAAACAGUCUUCAUAGGUAUACAGGUAAAUCAUCAGUUGGCCAUGCAUUGUUACUGUCAGGGUGACACGGUCAAUAUUCCUGGAUCGAAUCGAAUUUCGAAUAAAAAACAAACAAACAAACAAACAAAAAAACAAAAACAAAAAACAAAACAAAACAUGAGCGGUAUUUAACUCUUUUGAACGAAAAAAGUUUGAAAGAUGAUAUCAUUAUAAAGAUUAAGGCGAUUUCUAUUUCAAAAGUAAAUAGACCUUUUCAAGAAAAUAUCAAGUUAAUAAUUGUUGAUUUUGUCCCAGUUUAUAAUGUAAUGAUGUGAUAAUAAAUGUUAUAGCAGUAUUCAAUUUAACGUCUUUGUUAACCUAUUGUGCAUUAUAAAAUGUACACUGUCUGAACAGUUACAGUUCUACAUUAUUACAUAUAUAACUCAUACAUAUGCUAUCCAUAUUGUACAUGUAUUUACAUAAAAGGAGUCAUUCUACAAUCCGGAAAUCUCUACAAAAUAGACUAAAUGGAAUCUAGUUUAGACAGUGAACUCUAUGUGUUACGUUUUAGCGCUGGUAAUAUUCCUUUGUAUUCACUAAAUAUGCCAGAAAUGCCAAGUAAUAGAAGGGUGUUAAAUGGACCAGACCACUCACUACGCCGGUCCAUUAUCCAUAUGUGACAUACUUUGUGUAUGUAAAUGUGACACAUUUAUAAAGGCGGGUAUAAGACUGUGGAGAUCUCCAUUUAAAUACAGUUGACUCCCCAUUUAAACAAGAUGGACCUUACAUUCGUUCCCGUACCUCGUCCACACAUCGCCGACUAUAUCGUUAUAGCUAUUUUCCUCUGUAUCUGUAUGGGAAUUGGCGUUUACUAUGCCUAUCAGACAAACAAGAAACCAACUUUGGAGAAUUAUUUCCUUGGAAAUCGACGUCUGUUUCUUUUACCGGUGUCAAUGUCACUUUUUGUGACGUUCAUGUCAGCCAUUACUCUCAUGGGUGUACCUGCCGAAGUGUACGUUUACGGAAUUAUUGGAACAUAUGUUUUCGUGGCGAACAUUUUCUCUGUGAUGAUAGCUAGUAUAACCAUAGUCCCCCUACUGUACCCUCUCCGACUCACCAGCACAUACGAGGUAAGUUGUUGGUUUUUAUGAAGUGAGCAAAAGUAUAGAUGUAGGAUUCUCAUAGAAUCAUGUUUUUCACAAUAGUUUAUUUUAAACUAUUAUAUUAAUUUCUACAGAGAAACCCUCAGGUGAAGAGUGUAUAUCAAUACAAACAUCAAAAUCAAGACAUGUAACUAGCAAAACCGCAUUUCUAAUUCAAAAUUGAUGAUAUAAGGGAAUGAUGUCAACGACACUUAUAUCUGCUUUAUCAGUGACACUCGUCAUAUGAAUAUAUGUCACGUUCAAAUAAUGUCAUGUUCUCUAAAUUAAUCAGGGAUAGUGACAAAUACACCACGAUAUAUUAUUGAAUACUUACUACCAAAGACUACAAGUCAGCACGUUUAAGUACUAUUCCAGUAUUUCUAUUUGUACAGUACCUCCAACUUCGAUUUCGUUCGAAAGGUGUUCGCAUUUUGGGAACUAUGAUUGGAAUGCUACAAACGGUCGCCUAUAUGGGAGUAACAUUAUAUGCACCGGGAUUGGCCCUUCAAAUUGUGGCUGGAAUACCUCUCUGGCUCUCACUCGUUGUUAUCGGCCUAGUUGGCACUCUAUACACAGCAAUCGGAGGAAUCAAAAGCGUGGUGUGGACAGAUGCGUUCCAGUUUAUAAUGAUAUUUAUUGGAUUGGCAGCUGUAAUUAUAAAGG
Molecule: long non-coding RNA, 2262 nt
Organism: Pecten maximus
Lineage: Eukaryota; Metazoa; Mollusca; Bivalvia; Pectinida; Pectinidae
Exons: 4
Source: RefSeq, a predicted model, not a curated record